CAGUAGCCGCGGGAAUACGGAGGGGGCUAGCGUUGUUCGGAAUUACUGGGCGUAAAGCGCACGUAGGCGGCUUGGUAAGUUAGAGGUGAAAGCCUGGAGCUCAACUCCAGAAUUGCCUUUAAGACUGCCGAGCUAGCAGGUGAGAGAGGUAAGUGGAAUUCCGAGUGUAGAGGUGAAAUUCGCAGAUAUUCGGAAGAACACCAGUGGCGAAGGCGGCUUACUGGCUCAUACUGGACGCUGAGGUGCGAAAGCGUGGGGAGCAAACAGGAUUAGAUACCCCUGUAGUCCCUGUCUCUUAUAC
Molecule: ribosomal RNA, 301 nt
Filed under: uncultured bacterium
Lineage: Bacteria
Description: partial 16S ribosomal RNA
Rfam family: Bacterial small subunit ribosomal RNA
Source: RNAcentral